UACGUAGGCAGCAAGCGUUGUUCGGAGUUACUGGGCGUAAAGGGUGCGUAGGUGGCUCUAUAAGUAUGGUGUGAAAUCUCCCGGCUUAACUGGGAGGGUGCGCCGUAGACUGUGGGGCUAGAGUGUGGGAGAGGAAAGUGGAAUUCCUGGUGUAGCGGUGAAAUGCGUAGAUAUCAGGAGGAACACCGGUGGUGUAAACGGCUUUCUGGACCAUAACUGACACUGAGGCACGAAAGCGUUGGGUAGCAAACCAGG
This 255-nucleotide ribosomal RNA is filed under the name uncultured bacterium. RNAcentral describes it as "partial 16S ribosomal RNA". It matches the Rfam family "Bacterial small subunit ribosomal RNA", at positions 524 to 777 of the family's 1533-position model. The record is from RNAcentral.